RNAcentral lists this ribosomal RNA (365 nucleotides) under uncultured eukaryote. RNAcentral's name for it is "partial 18S ribosomal RNA". It matches the Rfam family "Eukaryotic small subunit ribosomal RNA", at positions 592 to 976 of the family's 1831-position model. The record is from RNAcentral.
CAAUAGCGUAUAUUUAAGUUGUUGCAGUUAAAAAGCUCGUAGUCGGAUUUUGGCUGAGAACGAUCGGUCCGCCGUUAGGUGUGCACUGAUUGGUCUCAGCUUCCUGGUGAGGAGGUGUGCUUCACGGCCACUUAGUCACCGUGGUUACUUUGAAAAAAUUAGAGUGUUCAAAGCGGGCUUACGCUUGAAUAUAUUGGCAUGGAAUAACACCAUAGGACUCCUGUCCUAUUUCGUUGGUCACGGGACGGGAGUAAUGAUUAAGAGGAACAGUUGGGGGCAUUCGUAUUUCAUUGUCAGAGGUGAAAUUCUUGGAUUUAUGAAAGACGAACUUCUGCGAAAGCAUUUGCCAAGGAUGUUUUCAUUGA